Molecule: long non-coding RNA, 1367 nt
Filed under: Mytilus galloprovincialis (Mediterranean mussel)
Lineage: Eukaryota; Metazoa; Mollusca; Bivalvia; Mytilida; Mytilidae
Source: RNAcentral
GUUAAGAUGAUCGUAAAUAAAGCGUAAAUCCUGGCGUAACUUACUACAGCUAUACCCAGUCGUAACUCCAUCGUAGUUUUUCUACGAAAAUAAAUUAAUCCAUCUAACAUGGCUGCAGCGUUCUUUAUUCUUUGUCAAGAUGCCUCAAAUGUUAGAAGACGAAGAAGAAUCUUCAAUAUUAUAGAACUACACUUGAAGUCUUUCUUCGUUUGAUUAUUUGUAUAUUCAAGCAACUAACUUAAUGCAAAUCUAAGGUAUUAAUCAUUGUACACUAAUCUUAUUUCCUACCGGCGUACGUCUUCACAAUUUAAUAAAUAGGCUUUCUAUCACGUCCGCGUUCUGAAAUCUAUUUAUAAUUAUAUCACUACAGGCACAGUGGUAAUCGAUAAAACGUUUAAAGAAGGAUGUUUUAUUCCCAUUUUUAAAGUUAUGUGUACAAUAUAAAUCUGAAAUCAGUGUUUCACAGUCAAACCAGAUAAUAAUUAUUUUUUUUUGUUUGUAAUUUCGGCCAAAAAAGAAAUGUAUUUUAAUAAGAAUAUCGAAAUAAAUAUCUGACUGUAAUUAGUUUCGUGGUUAAUGGAACUUAUUGCAACUAUUUAGAUAUAUAUGCCUUUCGAGUGACUAUUUUUGAAUCGAAUUUAAUGUAGAUCACAUAUACCAAAACUAAUAGGGGUAAGCUGCAGAUCAAUAAGACAGGCUUUGUGUAGAUGCGACAUGUCUUCAAAAAUUAAUACAGUAGAAAAAAAUUUGGAAGCGGGAGGGGAAGUUAAAGAUUGAAAAGUGAAGCAUUUUUUUCUGUUUACUUUAUUUUUUUUAUUUAGGGACAUCGCCACAUGCACCUGUUUCUAUCAAUGGGAAGGUCGACUAUCAAUAUGUAAUAUAUAUGGAUAGUCGACCUUCCCAUUGAUAGAUCGAAACAAGUGCCUGUGCACAUCUCUCCUCGGUCCUUCUUCUUUUAGGCAUAUUAUUUAGGGAAGAAAGACAAUUAUUCUAUACACAUUAGCCGUUUUAGCUAUACAAAACUGUUGGAAAUGUAGUUUAUACGUUAAUAAGACAGCAACCAAAUGACAAAGACAAACUAAGGACAUCCAGAAGGCAACAUAGUAUAGUAUAGUUUUCAACAAUAUAGAUAGAUGUCUAUGUUCCAGACCAUAUGAGUAUUUGUACCGUACGCGUACUUUUUCAAAAUACGCGGCAUACGUCGGACUGUUCGCGUACGGUCUGUCAGAUUUUAAGAAGUUGGUCAAGUUUUAAUACAAAUAAAUAUAUAUUACAGAUCAACAUGACAUAAAUCUCGAAUUGAUAUAAAAAGUUCAAUUGUAAUUGGAAUAAAAACUUAUUGUUUUGACUAUUUUAAUAGGUCGCGU